Molecule: transfer RNA, 73 nt
Filed under: Ailuropoda melanoleuca (giant panda)
Lineage: Eukaryota; Metazoa; Chordata; Mammalia; Carnivora; Ursidae
Rfam family: tRNA
About the family: Transfer RNA (tRNA) molecules are approximately 80 nucleotides in length.
Source: Rfam by way of RNAcentral
GCCUGAUUGGCUCAGUCAGAAGAGUGUGGGACUCUUGAUCUCGGGGUUAUGAGUUCAAGCCCCACAUUGGGUG